This 1885-nucleotide small RNA is filed under the name Pongo abelii (Sumatran orangutan). RNAcentral's name for it is "retained intron". Lineage: Eukaryota; Metazoa; Chordata; Mammalia; Primates; Hominidae. The record is from RNAcentral.
UUUAUCCAAAAUUUUAGUUCACAGCCUUCACUGGAUUACCUAUUGGGGCAAACAAAGUGUAACCAUGUAAAACCUGUGAGCUUGUAUUGAUAUCUCAUGGCUAGCGCUCCAAGUGAAUGGGUCUCAUGAGAUCUGAUGGUUUUGAAAGUGGGAGUUACCUUGCACGAGCUCUCUUUUUGCCUGCUGCCAUCCACAUAAGAUGUGAUUUGCUCUUCCUUGCCUUCCACCAUGAUUGUGAGGCCUUCCCAGCCAUGUGGAAAUUUGCGGGAAUUUAGCCAAUUCAGAGGUCUUGUUCUCCAUAAUCUGGAACUUUCCUUCAGAUUUGAUCAAGUUGGAUAAAGUUGGUCAAACCCAAUGGGAAAAAGAUGAAAACAACAAGAAACAGAAACAAACAACAACAACAACAACAAAACAAUGCAUUUAAUUAAAUGAAGAUGAGCUCAUGCUGGAGUAGGGUGGACUCUGAACCCAGUAGGACAAGCGUCCUUGUUAAGAAGAGGGAAAUCUGAACACACACAGAGCAGAGACUGCGGUGUGAAGAUGGAGGCAGAGAUUAGAGAGAUGCUGCUACAUGCCACAAAUGCCUGGGGCUCCCAGAAACUACACGGAGCCUCCCCCAGCGGCUUCAGCAGGAGCAUGGCUCAGCCAACACUUUGAUCUUGGCCUUCCAGCCUCCAGAACGUUUUCCUAAAAUUCCCUUUUCCACUUGUGUGUGGUGCAAGAUGAGGCACAUUUUCCAUGGAUGGUGAACAGAGGGAGGAGCCUCUUGAUCACAACCAGGUCACCCCACUUCUAAGCCACUGUGCCUCCAGCCCCACAAGACUAAGGAGAGAGAGCGCAGAGUGGUGGAGAGUGAGCUGUGCUGGGACCGUUGUUUCUGUAACCUCAUUUUCUGUGUCCAGCUGACACACCUUCAAAGCGGCGUCAGGUCCUAAACUGUAGCUUGCGACGUGCCUGUUUCCAGAAACAAAGGUGAAAGUGCUUUUAGACAGUGUUCCCAUGCAAGAGUCCCUUCCCAGCUGUUCUCUGGAAAUGCAUGUUUCUCUGAACUCUGAGUCCCAAGAAAAAUCAUUUGAGACAUCAAGAAAAUGGGGGAAGUGCUAAAAUUGUGUGGGAAUUCAAGCUUAACAAUAAACAUCAAGACAUUUUUGGUAAAAAUGAAUCCACUGACAUCAGGGAGGAGCAAGAGAACAGCACUCUGACACUGGGUCAGAGGCUAAGACCGACAUUUCUGGGAACCACUCCCAGAAGGGCACAGAUGAGACGCUUUCAGCCUCUCAUCAGCCAGCCUGGCCUGUUGCUGCUGCACAUUAUGAGUGUGUUCCUGGCAUGACUGCUUCUAACAGCAACAUUUCAUUAAGUUUUUAAGUGCCUGGCAAUUGCUUGGUUACAACCGGCGUCUGCUCCAUGGCAGCCUCUUCCUGAAGAAAUGCUGAUGCAGUGUCAUGCUGGUGUGUGUCCUCCUUACAGAAUGCCUGAACAGUUCCAUUGACUCAAAGUGAAGAUCAAAAGAACCAAAUGACAGCAAUAGCUAAGUGUAAUCAUCAGUAACCCUGUGUUCUAUCCACGGGUAAAGAACAAUCAUCCUCUUCAUUAUGGGUUUCAAUUUAAAAUGUAAUACAUUUUUAGAAAUGCCUAUUUCCUUUUAUAAUCUCUUUAUAUAAUCUAGGUUAUUCUGGCUCUUAGGUCUUCAUUUAGCUACUGAAAAGAUUUUAUCUCAAAUGAAUGAUCUAACCACCCAUGACCACCUCCCACCUCUCUCCCCGUACACCCCCCAGCCUGAAUUCUGGGAACUCAGGUAAAAUGCUUUCUGGAAACCUGCCUGUAUUAGUCUGUUGUCAAGCUACUAGUAAAUGAAUACCUGAAACUGGGUAAUUUAUAAAGG